Long non-coding RNA from Bos indicus x Bos taurus (hybrid cattle), 541 nucleotides. NCBI's taxonomy places the organism in Eukaryota, Metazoa, Chordata, Mammalia, Artiodactyla, Bovidae. The record is from Ensembl.
UUUAUCCAAAUGUAUCUUUAGAACUCAACUGCUAUCCAGCAAAUUCUCUUCCUCACAGUUUCUCUUGGGAAGAUCCAAGCCUUCAAGCAUUGUAUCAUGGAGCACUCUUUUCUUUUUUUCUUCCUAUGACUGUUGCAUAUUAGGUAGAAUUCUUUACUGAGCAAUAAUUCAACUUGCUUGCACUGACCAUCCAACUUUAAUUUUCUUGGCUGCUGAGAUAUUUAGCUCUUUUAGGCUGAACCUUGGAAUUUACUUCCAAGACAAGGAUAAUCUGAGAAAUUCUAGACUCAACUCAUUUGGCUUUUGAUGAGGCUUCAAAAUCAUUGAAUUUGAAUUAAAUUUGAACUCUUCUGACUGAGCACUCAGGAAAGAGGCUGAAGUCUUUAAGAAAACUCAGCAAUAGAGAGAGGGAAGAGUCGCUCUAGAAAUUUUAAUGUGUUGCCACCUUCAAGCAACACUGCUCUGUGCAUCCAAACAGAAGACUUGGGAAGAAUGGAAGAGAGAGAGCAUCAGUCAAUCUGUUAAGAUAAAUGCUCCAUGA